GACGAACGCUGGCGGCGUGCCUAAUACAUGCAAGUCGAACGAGAGCGCCCGGUGCUUGCACUGGUCAAUCUAGUGGCGAACGGGUGAGUAACACGUGGGUAACCUGCCCAUCAGAGGGGGAUAACAUCCGGAAACGGAUGCUAAAACCGCAUAGGUCUUCGAGCCGCAUGGCUUGAAGAGGAAAAGAGGCGCAAGCUUCUGCUGAUGGAUGGACCCGCGGUGCAUUAGCUAUUUGGUGAGGUAACGGCUCACCAAGGCCGUGAUGCAUAGCCGACCUGAGAGAGUGAUCGGCCACAUUGGGACUUAGACACGGACCAAACUCCUACGGGAGGCAGCAGUAGGGAAUCUUCCGCAAUGGACGCAAGUCUGACGGAGCAACGCCGCGUGAGUGAAGAAGGUGUUCGGAUCGUAAAACUCUGUUGUUAGAGAAGAACAAGUGCUAGAGUAACUGUUAGCGCCUUGACGGUAUCUAACCAGAAAGCCACGGCUAACUACGUG
This 498-nucleotide ribosomal RNA is filed under the name uncultured bacterium. RNAcentral describes it as "partial 16S ribosomal RNA". It matches the Rfam family "Bacterial small subunit ribosomal RNA", at positions 28 to 507 of the family's 1533-position model. The record is from RNAcentral.